RNAcentral lists this ribosomal RNA (680 nucleotides) under uncultured bacterium. RNAcentral describes it as "bacterial SSU rRNA". It matches the Rfam family "Bacterial small subunit ribosomal RNA", at positions 10 to 727 of the family's 1533-position model. The record is from RNAcentral.
AGUUUGAUCCUGGCUCAGAAUGAAACCUGGCGGUGUGCCUAACACAUGCAAGUCAAACGACAAUUUAUUUGGAGUGGCGGACGGGUGAGUAACACGUAAGAACCUACCUUUAGGAGGGGGAUACCAUCCCGGGAAACUGGUGCUAAUACCCCAUAUGCUGAGAAGUGAAAUGGUAUUUAACCGCCUAGAGAGGGGCUUGCGGCUGAUUAGCUAGUUGGUGGGGUAAUGGCCUCCCAAGGCGACGAUCAGUAGCUGGUUUGAGAGGAUGAUCAGCCACACUGGGACUGAGACACGGCCCAGACUCCUACGGGAGGCAGCAGUGAGGAAUUUUCCGCAAUGGGCGAAAGCCUGACGGAGCAAUACCGCGUGGAGGAAAAAGAAGACCUGUGGGUUGUAAACUCCUUUUCUCAGAGAAGAAUACUGACGGUAUCUGAGGAAUAAGCACCGGCUAACUAUGUGCCAGCAGCCGCGGUAAUACAUGGGGUGCGAGGUUUAUUCGGAAUGAUUGGGCGUAAAGCGUUCGUAGGUGGUUUCACGAAGUCCACUGUCAAAGAUCAGGGCUUAACCUUGGGCAGGCAGUGGAAACUCGGAAACUCGAGUCAGGUGGGGGCUGAAGGAAUCAACAGCGUAACAGUGAAAUGUGUAGAUAUUGUUGAGAACACCGAUGGAGAAAUCAUUCA